Molecule: long non-coding RNA, 921 nt
Organism: Oncorhynchus mykiss (rainbow trout)
Lineage: Eukaryota; Metazoa; Chordata; Actinopteri; Salmoniformes; Salmonidae
Source: RefSeq, a predicted model, not a curated record
AACUAAGACUUAGCUAGUUUUCGUGUUUCCUAGCUAUGUAUAUUUUAAUCACAUGCUUAAACUGCAAAAUCAAGAUAUAUAUUUCCAGGGCCUUAGUGCCCUGGCUGAUUGUUUUGUUGCACUGGCAGAUCAGGCACCCCCUUAAGGCAUUGUCCCUAAAAUUCCUUCCCUGGUAUGUUAUGCUCUUCAAACAGGUUGCCCUGGAGUUCAUGGGACUGACUGGUGUCUGUGGACCUCAAGAAGACAUUUUAUGAAGGCCUGGACAGUCUUGACAAAGACAGUUCCAAUCAAAGGAAGAGAAACGCUGUGCUCCGAGGCUUGCCAUACUUCCUGCGAGAAGACCCUACCAAUUUUUUGAAGACUUGAGAAGACAACUGAUUCAGAGGAAGGCACCCGCGGAGUGAAAGUUGUUGUGGAUGGAGCUGAAGCAGGUGACCCAAUGCCAGCUUACAAUGUGGAUAUUGCCCUUGUGAUGGAAGAGCAGGUGAUCAUCGUACAUGAGCUUCACAAUGUCCCAAAUGCCUUUGCCACUUUGAUUGGACUUCUUUAAUGUCUGAAUAUGGAUUACUCAAAAAUGUUUGAGGUCUACUUUUGAGGUAGUUCAGAAAAUAUUCUUGAAGAUUGGUGCAGAAAACUACAGCAAAGGUCCAUAGGCUGAACCGUCUUCUUCGUUAAGACAACUAAUUUGUGUGUUUUUGUUUUACUCGCAGUAGUUGAGUUCAUUCCUCGGACAAUGAUGCUGUUAUUUGCCUAAAUCUUAGAAAUCUCAGUUUUGGGAAGACUUAAGUUACCCUAUUUUUAUGUGUGACCUUCAGUCUACAAACUGAAGGUCAAAAAGUGCAUUCUGAAAAUGUUUACAGCAUGUUAGAAUUUUUCACACUCAACACCAACUUGUCAUAUAAACUGUUCUGAAGGUUGUCA